GAUGAACGCUAGCUACAGGCUUAACACAUGCAAGUCGAGGGGAAACGAUAUUGGAAGCUUGCUUCCGAUAGGCGUCGACCGGCGCACGGGUGAGUAACGCGUAUCCAACCUGCCCACCACUUGGGGAUAACCUUGCGAAAGUAAGACUAAUACCCAAUGAUAUCUCUAGAAGACAUCUGAAGGAGAUUAAAGAUUUAUCGGUGAUGGAUGGGGAUGCGUCUGAUUAGCUUGUUGGCGGGGUAACGGCCCACCAAGGCGACGAUCAGUAGGGGUUCUGAGAGGAAGGUCCCCCACAUUGGAACUGAGAUACGGUCCAAACUCCUACGGGAGGCAGCAGUGAGGAAUAUUGGUCAAUGGGCGAGAGCCUGAACCAGCCAAGUAGCGUGCAGGAUGACGGCCCUAUGGGUUGUAAACUGCUUUUAUAAGGGAAUAAAGUGAGCCUCGUGAGGCUUUUCGCAUGUACCUUAUGAAUAAGGACCGGCUAAUUCGUGCCAGCCGCCGCGGUAA
RNAcentral lists this ribosomal RNA (507 nucleotides) under uncultured bacterium. Its description in RNAcentral is "partial 16S ribosomal RNA". It matches the Rfam family "Bacterial small subunit ribosomal RNA", at positions 28 to 523 of the family's 1533-position model. The record is from RNAcentral.